GAUGGAUAGACCCCUCUGGAUGUCUGCCGAAUUCUGGACAGGACUCCAGGCAUACUGGAUACAGGAGGCUGUUCAGGCCGUUUCCCAGCGAGCACGUGCGAACCGGAUGUCUGAGCCCGAUGGACCCGGUACAGGGAUCAGCAGGCACGUGGGAGGGUCUCAGUCCACUCGUAUCCUGCAGCAGAGUCUGAGCUUGGAGAUUGGACUCCCCCCGGCUGCACAGAACUAUAGCACCUUCCUCCGCCUCCACAUGCGCGAGGAUUGAACUUUUCUAUCACCGAGGGAUGAGAGACUAGAUGCGGAGAUUCGUCGCAUUGCUGUUGAGACUGGGCGAGAGGACCGGCUGCCUGAGAUCUACUUGGAGGUCGUACGGCCCGACAGGUCCCGGCUCUACGGCACUGGAAGUGCUGGUAGGAGCCAGGUUAGUAGGGGGUCUUCUCAAAGCACAGGCACUUCCAUGAUGUCUCAGCAGCUGUAUGAGACACGGAUCUCCACGCUGGAAGAGCGCCUUCAGGCCGGACAAGCAGCACGUGAGGCCGAACGAGAGGCUUCUCGAGCAGAAUGUGAGGCCCUCGAGCAGCGUAUGGCUCAAUUCGAGGAGUUCAUGAGGCGGUCGGGUCAGCUACCUUGAGCAGCACUUCAUGUUUUGGAACUAUUAAUUUUAUGUUUUGGACUAUUUAAUUCAUGUUUUGGAACUAUUUGUUUGAACUAUGUUUAGGAACAAAAUUACACUUGCACUUUCUUUUUACA
Salvia miltiorrhiza (redroot sage) is the source of this 750-nucleotide long non-coding RNA. RefSeq lists it as uncharacterized. Lineage: Eukaryota; Viridiplantae; Streptophyta; Magnoliopsida; Lamiales; Lamiaceae. The record is from RefSeq and is a predicted model, not a curated record. The transcript is spliced from 3 exons.